AACGAACGCUGGCGGCAGGCUUAACACAUGCAAGUCGAACGGAGAUACGAUUUCGGUUGUAUCUUAGUGGCGAACGGGUGAGUAACGCGUGAACAACCUGACUCUUAGAGGGGGAUAACACUCGGAAACGGGUGCUAAUACCGCAUAAGACCACGACCCGGCAUCGGGAUGAGGUCAAAGGAGCAAUCCGCUGAGAGAGGGGUUCGCGUCCCAUUAGAUAGAUGGCGGGGUAACGGCCUACCAUGCCGACGAUGGGUAGCCGAGCUGAGAGGCUGAUCGGCCACACUGGAACUGAGACACGGUCCAGACUCCUACGGGAGGCAGCAGUGGGGAAUAUUGGGCAAUGGGCGCAAGCCUGACCCAGCAACGCCGCGUGAGGGAAGAAGGCUUUCGGGUUGUAAACCUCUGUCCUUGGUGACGAAACAAAUGACGGUAGCCAAGGAGGAAGCCCCGGCUAACUACGUGCCAGCAGCCGCCGUAA
RNAcentral lists this ribosomal RNA (481 nucleotides) under uncultured bacterium. Its description in RNAcentral is "partial 16S ribosomal RNA". It matches the Rfam family "Bacterial small subunit ribosomal RNA", at positions 29 to 523 of the family's 1533-position model. The record is from RNAcentral.